RNAcentral lists this ribosomal RNA (463 nucleotides) under uncultured bacterium. RNAcentral's name for it is "partial 16S ribosomal RNA". It matches the Rfam family "Bacterial small subunit ribosomal RNA", at positions 28 to 506 of the family's 1533-position model. The record is from RNAcentral.
GACGAACGCUGGCGGCGUGCUUAACACAUGCAAGUCGAACGGUAAGGCCCCUUCGGGGGUACACGAGUGGCGCACGGGUGCGUAACACGUGGGUGAUCUGCCCUGCACUUCGGGAUAAGCCUGGGAAACUGGGUCUAAUACCGGAUAGGACCACGCUCUGCAUGGAGUGUGGUGGAAAGCUUUUGCGGUGUGGGAUGGGCCCGCGGCCUAUCAGCUUGUUGGUGGGGUGAUGGCCUACCAAGGCGACGACGGGUAGCCGGCCUGAGAGGGUGUCCGGCCACACUGGGACUGAGAUACGGCCCAGACUCCUACGGGAGGCAGCAGUGGGGAAUAUUGCACAAUGGGCGCAAGCCUGAUGCAGCGACGCCGCGUGGGGGAUGACGGCCUUCGGGUUGUAAACCUCUUUCAGUACCGACGAAGCGCAAGUGACGGUAGGUACAGAAGAAGCACCGGCCAACUACGU